GUACACGCUGUGACUAGCAUAUCAAUAAGCGGAGGAAAAGAAACUAACAAGGAUUCCCCUAGUAACGGCGAGUGAAGCGGGAAGAGCUCAAAUUUGAAAUCUUAAAGGGUUUCCCUUUACGAAUUGUAGUUUAAAGAAGUGUUUUCUGUUGAGGUUUUGGUAAAAGUUCUUUGGAAUAGGACAUCAUAGAGGGUGAGAAUCCCGUAUUUGACCUUUACUUUCAACUUUGUGAUACACUUUCAAAGAGUCGGAUUGUUUGGGAAUGCAGUCCAAAAUGGGUGGUAAAUUUCAUCUAAAGCUAAAUAUUGGCGAGAGACCGAUAGCGAACAAGUACCGUGAGGGAAAGAUGAAAAGAACUUUGAAAAGAGAGUUAAACAGUACGUGAAAUUGUCAAAAGGGAAGCGUUUGACACCAGUGUUGUUUUUCUGAAAAUCAAUUAAAGAGCUGUUUAUGCUAAGCUGUUUAGACUUUAUCAGCUAACUGUUUAGUUUUGAGCUUUUCUUUAAUGCACUUUUCAGUUAACAAGUCAACAUCAAUUUCUUUUGCUGUAAAAAAGCUUGAGGAAGGUGGCUUGAGAUUCGUCUUAAGUGUUUAUAGCCUCUUGCCUAUGCAGUCGGAGAGAUUGAGGUCUGCAGCGUAGAUCCUUCGGGGCUAAAUGCAUUUGUGCUAAGUUAUAGCAUUUUAUAGACAACUUGUUGACUAUGAUUUGUCUUGUAGCUUACUCGCUUAUGUUAUUUUACCUACGCUUAGGAUGUUGAGUCGUAGAGCACGCA
RNAcentral lists this ribosomal RNA (773 nucleotides) under uncultured Neocallimastigales. Its description in RNAcentral is "partial large subunit ribosomal RNA". It matches the Rfam family "Eukaryotic large subunit ribosomal RNA", at positions 22 to 605 of the family's 3401-position model. The record is from RNAcentral. Lineage: Eukaryota; Fungi; Neocallimastigomycota; Neocallimastigomycetes; Neocallimastigales.